This 206-nucleotide ribosomal RNA is filed under the name uncultured bacterium. RNAcentral's name for it is "partial 16S ribosomal RNA". It matches the Rfam family "Bacterial small subunit ribosomal RNA", at positions 568 to 774 of the family's 1533-position model. The record is from RNAcentral.
AGUGUAGGCGGUCAAGCAAGUCAGGGGUGAAAGACAUCGGCUCAACCGAUGUAAGCCUUUGAAACUGUUUGACUUGAGUGCAGGAGAGGUAAGUGGAAUUCCUAGUGUAGCGGUGAAAUGCGUAGAUAUUAGGAGGAACACCAGUAGCGAAGGCGACUUACUGGACUGUAACUGACGCUGAGGCUCGAAAGCGUGGGGAGCGAACA